UUCUGUGGUGGCCAGGUGUUGGUAUCCUCUGUGUGGAAGGUGCUCAAAUGGUGGCUCUUCUCCCAAGUGGCUGGAGGUGGCUGUGGGGCUGUGACCAUCUCUUAGCCACCUUCUUAGCAAGUCCUGCAAAUGUGAUCAGUCUUCUCUCAACUCUAAUAUUCAAUGAUAAUACAAUCCUGAGAACAGUGCUAUGCAAUGCUCAUUUUGCCUAAGAGAACUACCGAGAGAGAAGUUUAACAUGCAAAAUGGUGUGGCCAGUUCAGCUGCACGAGGGCAUAUGGAACUAUCAUGUUUUGCUCAGCAAACAGUCAUUAAUGGCUACUGCAUGCUAGGAUCUGGGAUUCAAAAGCAAAGAAGACAAAUCCUUUGUCUUCCAAGUGCUCACAACCUAACAGAGAAAACGACAGACUUCAGAUGACAUCCAAUCCAAAUAGUGAAGUGGAAGACACAGCCGAGAACCAGCUCAGACUCCAAAAAUAUGAGGAUAAAGCAGGAGAAAUUCGACGAGGCUGGAAAAGUUCAGCUCCACCAGCCAGAGUGUCGCAAUACCCACGGGGUGGAAGUCACUGAAGGCAAAAGAAAACUUCCAGGCACCGAUUGUUAGAGAAUGCUCACUUCGGAAUGAAUGUAUAGAUUCCACAUGUGGCUGAAACCAAUUUCCUCUUGGUUUGUCCUCAGAAAAAAAUGGAAAGCAGCUGGCCGGCUUCUUCCACAAGUCCUUAAAGAGCACGACUGAGUCACAUGAAUGCCCUCGUUCCCGGGCGGAAGAACUCCAAGUCCACCCCGCCUUUCUCAGCAUCAUCAACAAUGGCCGUUUAUUGAGCGCCAACUACGCAUGAGGCACCAUGCCCUUGUCUCUGAAUCCCGUAAUAGACCCAAGUUCCCACGGGGUUCUGGUCGCACCUCCAAACAGUCCUUCAUUCAACUUUUCUUUUCCUCAGUUUACCCACUCUUAAAAAAGGUGACAAGACUACCCACCCUGGCUGCGCGCAGUCGUUAUUUUAAGGAUCCAAUGAGAGAGCCCCCACAUGGGAGAGGCACAUGGAUGGAAGGGUGCAUUAUUGCUGUGGAGCUUUUGUCUUCAUCUGGAACUUCCUCAGGCCCUCCACAAAAACUCCCAUGUAGGCACCAGAGACAGCAGUGCUCUUACCAGCGCCGAAAAGCAGGUGGUCUGACUCGGGAGCUAGUCUGGCUUCUAUAUUUGGCCAACGGAGCUAAUGCAGCCCCUUCUGAGGUAUUGCCACCAAACCCCACUUCUCCCAGCUUGUCUACACAGAGCCAGCCCCCCGCAUGGGGCUUUCCCUCCCUCAAUGAAUUACACCCUCCUGCUCAUUAGUAAACUUGUCAAACUCGAUAGUUAAUUCCAAUCCCGUCCUUCACACUAUUGGCCACACACACAUUCCAAUUGGAGCUGUCAGCAAGUCGUCCCCAGAGCCGUACCGGGUCACAUGGCUCAAACUCUGUCAGUCACUUCCUUUGGCCACCAAGAGCAAGAAUUUAAUUUAUUUGAACAUCAAAUGUCUUGGUGGAGUCUGACUACACUUGAAUAUACCUAAUCAAUCAUUCAAACGCUCUAGGAUAAGAUUCUAGGUUCCAGACAACCAAUCUGGUGACAUAGAUUCAAUAUAAUGUUUCUGAAAUAGCACCUGCCUCUCCAUUGGGCUCUUUGCCAGGUCUUUCCCCUACAAUAUUAUUUAGUCCUGACAUGUGAGAUAAAUAUCAAUAUCCCAGUUCUGUGUUUAAGGAAACAGAGGAUCACAAGCUGACUGACUUGUCCCAAGUCACAGAGUUACUUGGAAAAAACUCAAGUUCCAAUCCAGGCCUCCCACUUCCAAGUCCAGGCACUUCCCACAAUGCCACAGUUACCAUCAGUAGUAAUGUGGAAGAAAUAUUUGCUGUGCUCUUCAUGGAAAGCCUUGCCUCUGUUAAAUCCAGGAGCUUUGCAAAAGCGUCUUGAGAUGCUUCAAGAGGAAUGUCACUUGCUUGAUUUAGCUGAAUAUCUAUUUUCCUGUCACUACUUACUUCAUAAGGGUGCAAAACACAGGAAGUCCUGACUGCAAAGCUUUAGAGUGCUCAUUUAAAAUGACUAAGAGUUAUUUCAUGUUUGGCAGGGACUAGUACAUUUUGUCAGCCUGAAAGAAUUUUUGGCCAACAGGUUUUGUUUGGAUCCACAGUUGUUAACUAUUAGAGAUGUCUGAAAAACCAUUUAGGUUGGGCCGGUUGAACUGGGUGACUGAUGAUUGGGGUCAAUCGAAACUGAGAAUCUCCACUUCUAUGAUACCACUAGUGUCCAAAAGUAAAGGAGCAUUUCAUUUUCUCUGACCCCUCAAGACACAGAUUUCUGGAUGUGAAUUAAACAUUUCUGUUCUAAAGAUGAA
Molecule: non-coding RNA, 2378 nt
Organism: Leptonychotes weddellii (Weddell seal)
Lineage: Eukaryota; Metazoa; Chordata; Mammalia; Carnivora; Phocidae
Source: RefSeq, a predicted model, not a curated record